CAGUCGCCACGGGAAUACAAAUGGUGCAAGCGUUAAUCGGAAUUACUGGGCGUAAAGCGUGCGUAGGCGGUUUGUUAAGUCUGUUGUGAAAUCCCCGGGCUCAACCUGGGAAUGGCAAUGGAUACUGGCAAGCUAGAGUGUGUCAGAGGAUGGUGGAAUUCCCGGUGUAGCGGUGAAAUGCGUAGAGAUCGGGAGGAACAUCAGUGGCGAAGGCGGCCAUCUGGGACAACACUGACGCUGAGGCACGAAAGCGUGGGGAGCAAACAGGAUUAGAUACCCCAGUAGUCCCUGUCUCUUAUAC
This 301-nucleotide ribosomal RNA is filed under the name uncultured bacterium. RNAcentral's name for it is "partial 16S ribosomal RNA". It matches the Rfam family "Bacterial small subunit ribosomal RNA", at positions 509 to 807 of the family's 1533-position model. The record is from RNAcentral.